RNAcentral lists this ribosomal RNA (725 nucleotides) under uncultured fungus. RNAcentral's name for it is "SSU rRNA". It matches the Rfam family "Eukaryotic small subunit ribosomal RNA", at positions 329 to 1058 of the family's 1831-position model. Lineage: Eukaryota; Fungi. The record is from RNAcentral.
UAGGAUAGAGGCCUACCAUGGUGGUAACGGGUAACGGGGUGUUAGGGCACGACACCGGAGAGGGAGCCUGAGAAACGGCUACCACAUCCAAGGAUGGCAGCAGGCGCGCAAAUUACCCAAUCCCGACACGGGGAGGUAGUGACAAUAAAUAACAAUACGGGGUUCUUUCGGAUCUCGUAAUUGGAAUGAGUACAAUUUAAAUCUCUUAACGAGGAACAAUUGGAGGGCAAGUCUGGUGCCAGCAGCCGCGGUAAUUCCAGCUCCAAUAGCGUAUAUUAAAGUUGUUGCAGUUAAAAAGCUCGUAGUUGAAUUUCGGGGUUAGUAGGUUGGUCAUGCCUCUGGUAUGUACUGGUCUCACUGAUUCCUCCUUCCUUAUGAACCGUAAUGCCAUUAAUUUGGUGUUGCGGGGAAUUUGGACUGUUACUUUGAAAAAAUUAGAGUGUUUAAAGCAAGCUAACGCUUGAAUACAUUAGCAUGGAAUAAUGAAAUAGGACGUUCGAUCUUAUUUUGUUGGUUUCUAGGAUUGACGUAAUGAUUAAUAGGGAUAGUUGGGGGCAUUAGUAUUCAAUUGUCAGAGGUGAAAUUCUUGGAUUUAUUGAAGACUAACUACUGCGAAAGCAUUUGCCAAGGAUGUUUUCAUUAAUCAAGAACGAAAGUUAGGGGAUCGAAGACGAUCAGAUACCGUCGUAGUCUUAACCAUAAACUAUGCCGACUAGGGAUCGGAU